RNAcentral lists this ribosomal RNA (493 nucleotides) under uncultured bacterium. RNAcentral describes it as "partial 16S ribosomal RNA". It matches the Rfam family "Bacterial small subunit ribosomal RNA", at positions 30 to 523 of the family's 1533-position model. The record is from RNAcentral.
AUUGAACGCUGGCGGCAUGCUUUACACAUGCAAGUCGAGCGGUAACAGGUUAAGCUGACGAGUGGCGAACGGGUGAGUAAUGCAUCGGAACGCGCCCGAUCGUGGGGGAUAACGCAGCGAAAGCUGCGCUAAUACCGCAUACGAUCUGAGGAUGAAAGCGGGGGACCGUAAGGCCUCGCGCGAUCGGAGCGGCCGAUGUCAGAUUAGGUAGUUGGUGGGGUAAAGGCCUACCAAGCCGACGAUCUGUAGCUGGUCUGACAGGACGACCAGCCACACUGGGACUGAGACACGGACCAGACUCCUACGGGAGGCAGCAGUGGGUAAGUUUGGACAAUGGGCGAAAGCCUGAUCCAGCAAUGCCGCGUGCAGGAAGAAGGCCUUCGGGUUGUAAACUGCUUUUGUACGGAGCGAAAAGGUCCUUUCUAAUACAAGGGGCUCAUGACGGUACCGUAAGAAUAAGCACCGGCUAACUACGUGCCAGCCGCCGCGGUAA